Molecule: transfer RNA, 73 nt
Filed under: Loxodonta africana (African savanna elephant)
Lineage: Eukaryota; Metazoa; Chordata; Mammalia; Proboscidea; Elephantidae
Rfam family: tRNA
About the family: Transfer RNA (tRNA) molecules are approximately 80 nucleotides in length. Their secondary structure includes four short double-helical elements and three loops (D, anti-codon, and T loops). Further hydrogen bonds mediate the characteristic L-shaped molecular structure. tRNAs have two regions of fundamental functional importance: the anti-codon, which is responsible for specific mRNA codon recognition, and the 3' end, to which the tRNAs corresponding amino acid is attached (by aminoacyl-tRNA synthetases). tRNAs cope with the degeneracy of the genetic code in two manners: having more than one tRNA (with a specific anti-codon) for a particular amino acid; and 'wobble' base-pairing, i.e. permitting non-standard base-pairing at the 3rd anti-codon position.
Source: Rfam by way of RNAcentral
GCCUGUGUAACUCAGUUGGUAUAGCAUUGGAGUUUUCAUCUAAGUGUCCAGGGGUCAAGUCCCUGUUCAGGCA